Molecule: long non-coding RNA, 619 nt
Filed under: Homo sapiens (human)
Lineage: Eukaryota; Metazoa; Chordata; Mammalia; Primates; Hominidae
Description: non-protein coding lnc-TMCC1-12:1
Source: RNAcentral
CAGCUAACGGUUUGGAACAAAUGCAGUAUAGCUCAAGGAGCCCUGGUCUCGGGAUAAAAAGGAGUUCAAGGCCAGUUUCUGUUACGGGUCUGAGCCAAGCCACAUCACUUCUCUAAACAAGCACUGGCCUCCAGAUAAACAGUAUUAAAACAAUUACAACUCAUCCAGCUCACAGAUGCUGAUUCACUGAACCCCUGUUCCACCGACCAGAAACAGCUUUGACUGGACAAGAGGCUGAAUUCAGUAACUUUCUCCUGAUGAGAAGACCACCAGCCAUGGACUGGUUCUUGCUGGUUUACAGAGACUGCACACCUGUGUACCUUCAUGUCCUGAAAAGAUCUUUUGACAUAGGGGCUAGGUAUAAUACAUUUCAUCUAUUCAUUUCAAAAUGAACAUCGGUCAUAAGUUACAUGUAUGUUUAUCUAACAUGCCUGUGUCAGGACCACUUUCUUGAAUACUCAGCUCCUCCUGUAACUUGUUGAACAUGUAUGUUUAGCCAACCUUUUCAGCAUAAAACUCCUACCCCAACCCCUCCUCCUUCCAAACGCCUGUCUCUGGUCUUGGCUAGAGGCAGGCUUCCCAGCCUGUGGGACAACCACCUUGCAGGCUGUAACCUUUU